RNAcentral lists this long non-coding RNA (617 nucleotides) under Rattus norvegicus (Norway rat). RNAcentral's name for it is "long non-coding RNA NONRATT029152". The record is from RNAcentral. Lineage: Eukaryota; Metazoa; Chordata; Mammalia; Rodentia; Muridae.
GCAAUAGUUCCACAGAGCAGAUCGUGGUGCAGGCUGGCCAGAUUCAGCAGCAGCAGGGUGGUGUCACUGCUGUCCAGCUGCAGACUGAGGCCCAGGUGGCAUCCGCCUCAGGCCAGCAAGUCCAGACCCUCCAAGAGGAGACAAGCGAGGGCCAAGCUAGAGGCAGAAGGGAAGAUCCCAAAGGAAAGAAGGAAAUACCUCCAUGAGUCUCGGCACCGACACGCCAUGGCACGGAAGCGUGGGGAAGGGGGCCGCUUCUUCUCUCCAAAAGAAAAGGACAGUCCUCACAUGCAGGAUCCAAACCAAGCUGAUGAAGAAGCCAUGACACAGAUCAUCCGAGUUUCCUAACCACAGGAGGGUGGCAGAGCGGAUGAGUCACAGUCCUCUCCACUGUUCCUGGAAAUGGACUGACUUCCAGUUGGGCACUGACAGUCUCACUCUGCCCUUUCUCAGGACAGAAACUACUUAGCUCAGUAUUACAGCUGCAGUGAUGGCUGACAAACUGAAGAGGCAAGCUUUUGUCUCUCCCUUUCAUUGAGGACCUGUUCAGACUGUUGGUGACAUUGACCUUUUACAAAUUUGGAUGAUUAAAGAGGUAUUUGCCAGCCCAGCAUUAC